RNAcentral lists this ribosomal RNA (449 nucleotides) under uncultured bacterium. Its description in RNAcentral is "partial 16S ribosomal RNA". It matches the Rfam family "Bacterial small subunit ribosomal RNA", at positions 29 to 523 of the family's 1533-position model. The record is from RNAcentral.
AAUGAACGCUGGCGGCAUGCCUAACACAUGCAAGUCGAACGAAGCCUUCGGGCUUAGUGGCGCACGGGUGCGUAACGCGUGGGAAUCUGCCCUUGGGUUCGGAAUAACUCUCCGAAAGGAGUGCUAAUACCGGAUGAUGUCGAAAGACCAAAGAUUUAUCGCCCAGGGAUGAGCCCGCGUAGGAUUAGCUAGUUGGUGAGGUAAAAGCUCACCAAGGCGACGAUCCUUAGCUGGUCUGAGAGGAUGAUCAGCCACACUGGGACUGAGACACGGCCCAGAAUCCUACGGGAGGCAGCAGUGGGGAAUAUUGGACAAUGGGCGAAAGCCUGAUCCAGCAAUGCCGCGUGAGUGAUGAAGGCCUUAGGGUUGUAAAGCUCUUUUACCCGGGAUGAUAAUGACAGUACCGGAAGAAUAAGCCCCGGCUAACUCCGUGCCAGCCGCCGCUGUAA